UACGUAGGGGGCGAGCGUUGUCCGGAUUCAUUGGGCGUAAAGAGCUCGUAGGCGGUUUGGCAAGUCAGGUGUGAAAUCUCCGGGCUCAACUCGGAGAGGCCACCUGAUACUGCUAUGACUAGAGUCCGGUAGGGGACCAUGGAAUUCCUGGUGUAGCGGUGAAAUGCGCAGAUAUCAGGAGGAACACCGGUGGCGAAGGCGGUGGUCUGGGCCGGUACUGACGCUGAGGAGCGAAAGCGUGGGGAGCGAACAGG
This 254-nucleotide non-coding RNA is filed under the name uncultured bacterium. RNAcentral's name for it is "partial 16S ribosomal RNA". It matches the Rfam family "Bacterial small subunit ribosomal RNA", at positions 524 to 776 of the family's 1533-position model. RNAcentral also lists the same sequence under 2 other names. The record is from RNAcentral.